GCACAAUAGUUGGGAAAAUGAUCCCAGUUCCGGAGACACCAUUCAGUGAUCACUUGUCAAUAUUAUUCAAGAGUAAUAGUUGGGAAAAUAUCCUUCCGGAGACACCAUUCAGUGAUCACUUGUCAAGAUUAUUCAAGAGUAUGUAUAUGUCCUAGGAAGAAGAAUACAAAUGUAGUACCACCACCACCAGAAGAUCAUUAAGAACAUUAAGAAGAUAUCCAGACAGAAAUGGAGGAAACAAAUUUGCACCGUAAGAGGAUAUAUAUCUAGAUUCCAAUAAUUGAAGAUUAAUUCAUUUCCCUUUUAGCGGUUUAAUUGUGAAGAAUGAAUAAUUUAGGUGUUAUAUGCUCGUCUUCAUCCUUGAGUUGUCAAUGGCAUGGAGAAGCAAUCAGAUGUGGUCUAAGAAGAAGGAAAUGUGGUCUAAGAAGAAGCUUAGCUGAUGUCCAAGAAGAAGAUUGAGUGGAUAAAUACCAUAUUUUCUAUUGAACAAACCUAUUUUUUUGUUUGAAAUAUUUUGAUGUGAGA
This is a long non-coding RNA of Impatiens glandulifera, 525 nucleotides long. RefSeq lists it as uncharacterized. Lineage: Eukaryota; Viridiplantae; Streptophyta; Magnoliopsida; Ericales; Balsaminaceae. The record is from RefSeq and is a predicted model, not a curated record. The transcript has 3 exons.